AAAAUUAGGGCUCAGAUUCUUUUUAAGAUAUGUUUUGGUUAUAUUUUGGUUCAGUAUAUUCUUAUGUUCCUCUAUACUUGUCUAUGUGCAUUUUAUUGAAAUUUUUGUGAUAUUGGUGAAGAGUUUUAUUUGCCCUAAAAUUAUGGCUUAGAUAUGUUAUUGUUUUUGUUUUUUGUUAAAAUGUUUUCUUCAAUGUUUUUCUGCAUGUUAUUAUGAUUUUCCUUUGAUUAUUACAACUAAUUAAACUAAUCCCUAAAUUAGGGUUUCAACUAUUAUUUCACUUUACUCACUGAUUUUGUCUAUCUAUUUAUGACUCUUGCCUUUAAAUUAAGAGUCUGCGAUCCCAUACCUGUUUUAUUCCCAAAAAUUACUCUGUUAAAAUUCAUGUGUUUUAUUUAUACACGUACUAUUACUUCUAGUUUACCUUGAAUAAUGUUCUGAGUUUCCUUUCCUAAAUUGGUUAAUUGAUUACGUCCAUGUUUAUGUGCUCUAGUCUAAUGCUAUUUAAACCCCUCCUUUUUUACCCUUGGACAAGACUCACAACUCGAGUAUUUCUCACUACAAUAUACUAAAUUGUUAUUGUAGUCUGAUUUGACUCCUGGCCGCCCUGGAAGCUAAGGCAAGAAAUCUUCUAUUAUUUCCUGGUGUCGAUAAUCAUUAAUGCAUUGCUAACUUCUUUUUAUUUCAUAUGAACUAGUAAGUGAUUGGAGCAUUUUUCUACUUUGUUACUCAUUAAAUAUGUUAAUGCUAAUUGAUUAGCUUCUUUCUGUAUUAUAGACAUGUUUAACUCGAUAUAUUAAUUAACAAAAUCUUCUUAAUUAUGUGUAACUUAAGACUGUCUUUUCAUAUUAAGUACGUUUUGAUGCCUUUCAGCAAAAACUAGUUGAUCAUGUACCCUUAGUUUGUUGCUGAAUCCGUUAACAUGUUAUCUAAUUUUGUGUUCAUCAAGCUACUCGUCCUCACUAAUAACGAAUCUGCUUCUUGACUCAUUAUUGAUCAAUGAAUUGCCUUUCUGUGACUUAUCCUAGUUUGAAUUAUGUUAUCUUCCAUGAAAGUAUGCUCAUGAGUUGGUUAACUAUCCAUAAAUAUGCUUCCCAGUCGUUGCCUACACUCUUUUAAAUUCUGAUUCCCUGCUCAUUAAAACCCUUGUGAACUAUGAUACACCACGAUUCGGUGUAAAGUUUUCCCUGGAACUAUUGAGAUUAUUCUUCUCUAGUAUGAUUAUUGCUCUGGGUUCUCGAAGCCCUUGGGAACUUUGGAACACUAGAGAUAUGGGUUCUGUAUGAUUAUCUGUGAGAUAUGGAUGGAUCACUCACCAUUUGUCAUGUUGUACCUAUGAACAUGGGCUUCAGAGAUGCUGCGAGUUGAAGACCUGGUUCGUCCUGGUGCAUUAGGGCCUGAUAAAGGCCUUCUAUAGUUUUUAUACUCUAUCGUCCAUUCAUUCAAUUGCGGUCUAUAAUAAUUAUUUGUAAUAACGAUUUGGUCAAUAGUGAACUGGGAAAACUGGGCUUAGUUUUAACUAUUGCAUGAGAAUCGGUAGAAAUCCUGCCCAUAGGUGUUUAUUUGGCCCAUUCUACUAUUGUGUUAGAUAACCUAUCUAUACAUCUUUUCUGCUAUUUAUGUUAGAUGACAUACCAAUAGGUGUUCACUAUUAUUAUUAGAAAACUUGCCUAUAGGUUUACUUACGCGAGGAUAUAUUCUUCUAAUUGGGUGCGAAAAACUUGUCUAAAUAUUUACGUCUGCCAUCUGUCACUCCUCCUUUUUCCUACACCCCGGAAGGGAGUAUAAGGGAGUUUUUUUUCAAUUUAAAGUGACAAUCGAAACGCGAUUAUUUAUUUAAAAAUCAGAGUCGCCACUUGGGAUAAUUUAUGGUGUCCCAAGUCACCAGUUUCAAAUCCCGUAUCGAGGAAAGAUUGACUCUAUUUUACAGUCCGUGAACACAAAAAUACUGGUAAGGAAUUUUGUUAACC
This 1970-nucleotide long non-coding RNA is filed under the name Nicotiana benthamiana. RNAcentral describes it as "long non-coding RNA (NBEN_LNC012531)". Lineage: Eukaryota; Viridiplantae; Streptophyta; Magnoliopsida; Solanales; Solanaceae. The record is from RNAcentral.